RNAcentral lists this transfer RNA (72 nucleotides) under Araneus ventricosus. RNAcentral's name for it is "tRNA-Glu". The record is from RNAcentral. Lineage: Eukaryota; Metazoa; Arthropoda; Arachnida; Araneae; Araneidae.
UUCCCACGCCGGGAGUCGAACCCGGGCCGCCUGUGUGAGAGCCAGGAAUCCUGACCGCUAGACCACAUGGGA